RNAcentral lists this ribosomal RNA (1137 nucleotides) under Triticum aestivum (bread wheat). RNAcentral describes it as "partial small subunit ribosomal RNA". The record is from RNAcentral. Lineage: Eukaryota; Viridiplantae; Streptophyta; Magnoliopsida; Poales; Poaceae.
AUGAGCAGCCCCCGCCGCCGCCGCUCGUCGGCGGCGCCGCUGGACGACGAAGACCUCCUGCCCGAGAUCCUCCUCCGCCUCCCCCCGCUGCCGUCCUCCCUCCCCCGCGCGUCCCUCGCCUGUAAGCUCUGGCGGCGCAUCGUAUCCGACGCCCGAUUUCUCCGCCGCUUCCGCGAGCACCACCGCCGCAACCCUCCCCUCCUCGGUUGCUUCGUCCAAGGUAUCUCCCCCGUCCAUUUCGAACCUACUCUGGAGGCCCCCAAUCGCGUCCCGCAAGCCCGCCUAUCAUUUCCCAUCGACGCUGUCCACACCUAUGUGAUCCUCGGAUGCCGCCAUGGCCUCAUGCUCAUCUUCCUUUGGCGGCGGAACCAGCUCCUGGUAUGGGAUCCCGUCACCGGUGACCGGCACCACCUAGACGUCCCCGCAGGGUUUGACAACGAGGAGACCAGGAUCAAAGGAGCGGUGCUUCGUCCUGCCGGAGUGGUCCACCACUUCCAGGUUGUCUUGGUGGGCAACAGCGACAUACAACUUACGCAGGCUGUGGCCUCGGUGUACUCGUCGGAGACCGGUGCAUGGAGCAAUCUCGUGUCGACGCUGCUUCCAGCCGACAAUCCUGAUGUAGUCACCAGGGUUUACCAUGACAUGUGCUCUGUGAUGAUUGGGAAUUCCCUGUACUGGUUCCUUAUAGGGAAUUUCUGUGGAAUACUUGAAUUUAAUUUGAAUACGCAGAGCCUUAGUGUGAUACAUGCGCCAGUGGACGUCGAUGUCAACACCGGCUCCGUCACGGUUAUGCGGGCGGAGGGUGGUGGCCUUGGUUUCCUCUUCCUGUCGGACUACUGUGUCCAAGUAUGGAAGAGGAAGACGGACUGUGAUGGUGUGGCUUCAUGGGUGCUGGGAAGAACUGUUGCACUAGACAAGCUACUUUCCAUGAAUCCAGAGGAGGGCAGUCAGAGCCCAAGGAUACUCGGGUUUGCUGAGGACAACAAUGUGGUGUUACUGUGGACAUUUAUCGGUGUCUUCAAAGUCCAUUUUGAAUCAUUGCAGUCUAAGAAACUUCUCGAAUCCUACCGCUUUUACCGCUGGUUUCACUAUUAUCCAUUUGAAGCUGUCUAUACUGCAGACGCGGGCAUAAUGUGA